Molecule: transfer RNA, 73 nt
Filed under: bacterium
Lineage: Bacteria
Description: tRNA-Phe
Rfam family: tRNA
About the family: Transfer RNA (tRNA) molecules are approximately 80 nucleotides in length. Their secondary structure includes four short double-helical elements and three loops (D, anti-codon, and T loops).
Source: RNAcentral
GGUGAUAUAGCUCAGUUGGUAGAGCAAUGGAUUGAAAAUCCAUGUGUCACUGGUUCGAUUCCAGUUAUCACCA